This 1418-nucleotide ribosomal RNA is filed under the name Sciadicleithrum mexicanum. Its description in RNAcentral is "eukaryotic LSU rRNA". It matches the Rfam family "Eukaryotic large subunit ribosomal RNA", at positions 136 to 1276 of the family's 3401-position model. The record is from RNAcentral. Lineage: Eukaryota; Metazoa; Platyhelminthes; Monogenea; Dactylogyridea; Dactylogyridae.
CAGGACAAUGUGGUGUUUAAGCUUGUACCUGGAAUCGCCAACCUACCCGAAGUCCAACUCCGAUUGUGGCUUGGAUUGUUCCCAUAGCGGGUGAUAGGCCCGUACGGGUAGGUUACAUUGUUUUAGCGGUUCUCAGAUGUACUUGCUUUCGAGUCGGAUUGCUUGAGAAUGCAGUCCAAAGUGGGUGGUAAACUCCAUCCAAGGCUAAAUACUGGCACGAGUCCGAUAGUAGACAAGUACCGUGAGGGAAAGUUGAAAAGUACUCUGAAGAGAGAGUAAACAGUACGUGAAGCCGGUUGCAGGGAAGCUGGUGGAGUCAAGCUUCAUGCUUGAAGGAUUUGUAUCAGCAGCAUUUGUUGUAUGGAUGCGGUAGUGAUCAACUUGAAAUAAGUUGGGCGCAUUCGUGUGCUUCAAGUCAUUCCGGGUUGUGUGUUUGAUAUCACUAUCGCUUUUCAGCUGCUGGUGCUCUAUCCUUCGUUGCAUAAAUCAUGGUCGAUAGCAUUGUUUGCGUGUUACGUGAUUGUCUAACUGUACUUUGGCAGGCAUUUGUUUGUCGGGUGCAGGAUGGCAGGUUGCGGCUACAGAUCCUUGUGUUCUGUAUGUCGCUUAUAGUGGUUUCGACCAGCUGAUGAUCAUGUAAUAUCGCUGCUAUUGUUUUUGAUUAGUGCUCAGUCUUAGGACUCUGUGCUGGUUAGAACCAUGAUUCUGAGGUAGAUUUUCCACCCGACCCGUCUUGAAACACGGACCAAGGAGUUUAACAUGCGCGCAAGUCACUGGGCUUAUUAUGAAACCCAAAGGCGCAAUGAAAGUGAAAGGCUUUCAGUCUUAGGUGUGAUUCUAGUUUGCUUUAACAAGGCGGCUAGACGCAGCACCGGCCCGUCUCAUAAUGUUGUCAUUCUGGCUACGGUUGGAAUGCGUCAUAGAGGCGGAGCAAGAGCGCGCAUGUUGAGACCCGAAAGAUGGUGAACUAUGCUUGCGUAGGUUGAAGCCAGAGGAAACUCUGGUGGAGGACCGAAGCGGUUUUGACGUGCAAAUCGAUCGUCAAACGUGAGCAUAGGGGCGAAAGACUAAUCGAACCAUCUAGUAGCUGGUUCCCUCCGAAGUUUCCCUCAGGAUAGCUGGCACUCACUUUGCUUAAUCAGUUUUAUCCGGUAAAGCGAAUGAUUAGAGGUAUUGGGGGCAAAUUGUCCUCAACCUAUUCUCAAACUAUAAAUGGGUACGAUGCUCGGCUCGCUCGAAUGGAGUCAAGCAUUGAAUGUGAGUGCCAAGUGGGCCAUUUUUGGUAAGCAGAACUGGCGCUGUGGGAUGCUCCGAACGUUCAGAUAAGGUGCCCAACGUGACGCUCAUGAGAUACCAGAAAAGGUGUUAAUGCAUAUAGACAGCAGGACGGUGGCCAUGAAAGUCGGAAUCCGCUAAGG